RNAcentral lists this long non-coding RNA (516 nucleotides) under Mus musculus (house mouse). Its description in RNAcentral is "RIKEN cDNA 4930429C20 gene (4930429C20Rik)". Lineage: Eukaryota; Metazoa; Chordata; Mammalia; Rodentia; Muridae. The record is from RNAcentral.
AGAUAUGUGAGUAAACUCGGGGUGUCUAGGAAGUGAAAAGGGGGCAGUUGCCUCUGUUUUGCCACAGCCAUAUGCAGAGAGUGAGUAGAAGGCCUUCCUAACAUGGAAAGGCCAUGUGAGAAUGUCAAAUGUAUAGGUUGCCCACUCAAAUUGCAAAGCAGUGGUAAAAUUCACACUCAAAUGGCUACAUAUGUAUGGCAUAGGAGUGACCACCAGGGAUGAAGUUUUGGGAAAAACAUCAUGAUGAACCUGAACGUUGGAUUCCUGUAUUGUCAGUCAGUCAGGAGCCAGUAUGGGUACCUGGUUUCAGAAGAUGCCAGACAACUGGAGGAAAGAGAAAGGUGAUUUACCUAACAGUGGAAGGAAGAACUUGGUGCAAAAGAAAAUCAACUGAAGAUUGGGAUUGUUGGUUGGGAACAGCACUGUCUCUAGGUAUCUGAAAGAUGAACAAGAGAUGAUUAGACUCAUUCUGCUUAGAGAUGAAAGACCAAAUAAAGACCCAUAUGUAGAAAUCCA